This is a long non-coding RNA of Metopolophium dirhodum (rose-grain aphid), 580 nucleotides long. RefSeq lists it as uncharacterized. The transcript has 2 exons. The record is from RefSeq and is a predicted model, not a curated record. NCBI's taxonomy places the organism in Eukaryota, Metazoa, Arthropoda, Insecta, Hemiptera, Aphididae.
UUUAUUAUCGCACAUCAUAUUCUGUUUAGCAUAGUUUAGUGUUGACUAUAAUAAUAUUAUAAAUAAUUUGUGUUCUAAUAACUGAUAUUACAUUCAGAUUUCAGACUCAUAUAUUUUUACAAUAUAAGAAAGAUAAUGUAAAAAUAAACAAAGAAAAGGGGACGGAGUGUCCGAGCGGUCUAAGGCGUCGGUUGCGACACAGCCGGAGCCGGUUCGAUUCCUUGGUCAUGGGCGGCAUUUUUCUUCGGGCAAGUCAUGGUGUCCGGAGAGUAAGUGCCACCAUCACCCACCCGGGCAUGGCAGAUACCUAUGGGUGCCCAAUCAAAAAUUCUGUCAAACACAAACACUCACGUGUAAAAACCCACCACUUCAAAACCCUACCACCACCACAAUACAACCCUACUAACCAGCUAAUGGCCAUAGAUGCCGGGCUUAAGAAUCAAUAAAAAAAAAAAAUAUAUUAACUAUAUAUGUAUAUUGUAUAUUAUGUUUUUGUGGAAUAUUAAUUUAGAUAUAUUUUAAUAUUGAUUUCAUUGUUAAUAUAUUUAUCAAAAUGUAUUAUAGAUAAUAUUAAUUUGUA